This 429-nucleotide ribosomal RNA is filed under the name Acidobacteriota bacterium. Its description in RNAcentral is "Acidobacteria bacterium partial 16S ribosomal RNA". It matches the Rfam family "Bacterial small subunit ribosomal RNA", at positions 355 to 776 of the family's 1533-position model. The record is from RNAcentral. Lineage: Bacteria; Pseudomonadati; Acidobacteriota.
UGGGGAAUUUUGGACAAUGGGGGAAACCCUGAUCCAGCCAUCCCGCGUGUGCGAUGAAGGCCUUCGGGUUGUAAAGCACUUUUUGCAGGAAAGAAACGUCAUGGGUUAAUACCCCGUGAAACUGACGGUACCUGCAGAAUAAGCACCGGCUAACUACGUGCCAGCAGCCGCGGUAAUACGUAGGGUGCAAGCGUUAAUCGGAAUUACUGGGCGUAAAGCGUGCGCAGGCGGUUCGGAAAGAAAGAUGUGAAAUCCCAGAGCUCAACUUUGGAACUGCAUUCUUAACUACCGGGCUAGAGUGUGUCAGAGGGAGGUGGAAUUCCGCGUGUAGCAGUGAAAUGCGUAGAUAUGCGGAGGAACACCGAUGGCGAAGGCAGCCUCCUGGGAUAACACUGACGCUCAUGCACGAAAGCGUGGGGAGCAAGCAGG